AUGAAAAGAACAAAACAAAGUAAUCCGCACAACAUCGGCCAUCUCUCUAUGAUCCACUCUCGCCGGCGACUUCAUCACCUUCGACUUCAUCACCUUCGACGACAACACCUCAAAGCUACGACGCGGACAACUGAAGCUCCAGCCGCACCCUAUCUCCACAGACUUCAUUCGUACAGACCGCCUUGCCGUUCAACCAGCUUCGGCCUUCCUCACUUUGCGAUUGCAACACCGGCCGAUCUCGCCGCACGACACCAUGAACAACCAGCCAACGCUCUACUCAACGUCUGA
Non-coding RNA from Vicia faba (fava bean), 288 nucleotides. Lineage: Eukaryota; Viridiplantae; Streptophyta; Magnoliopsida; Fabales; Fabaceae. The record is from the annotation of a GenBank genome assembly.